Molecule: ribosomal RNA, 137 nt
Filed under: uncultured Enterobacter sp.
Lineage: Bacteria; Pseudomonadati; Pseudomonadota; Gammaproteobacteria; Enterobacterales; Enterobacteriaceae
Description: partial 16S ribosomal RNA
Rfam family: Bacterial small subunit ribosomal RNA
Source: RNAcentral
AUGCCGCGUGUAUGAAGAAGGCCUUCGGGUUGUAAAGUACUUUCAGCGGGGAGGAAGGUGUUGUGGUUAAUAACCACAGCAAUUGACGUUACCCGCAGAAGAAGCACCGGCUAACUCCGUGCCAGCAGCCGCGGUAA